Anguilla anguilla (European eel) is the source of this 1379-nucleotide long non-coding RNA. RefSeq lists it as uncharacterized. The transcript is spliced from 3 exons. NCBI's taxonomy places the organism in Eukaryota, Metazoa, Chordata, Actinopteri, Anguilliformes, Anguillidae. The record is from RefSeq and is a predicted model, not a curated record.
CUGGCUGCCCCGAGGCAGCGGCAGUCAGGAAAGUGGUGUUAGAGAGAGUCCUCUGCAGUCUGCCAGCACCGUCCCACCUCCAGACACCGUCAUCCUGAAGUCAUGCGUUUCCAGUCCAGUCCCAAAGGGAGGCGGCGACAACUGGAGGCCAAUGCAGCUGACCGCUCUCGCCUUCAUGUUCCUGCUGACAGAGUACCUCCUCUCUUCCUCUGGUCCGGGUGCUGUACCGCCACGGCACAGGGCUACACCACCGCCAGCCACCCGCCCGGCCAUCACUCCACUCCAACGGCUCAAGCAGGAAACAGCCAAUGCGGGAGCCUCUCUCGGUUGCUAGGACACAGGCAGCGGCGUAGCAUCACAGCCUCUGAAGCGCCCAGAGUGUGAAACCUCCCCGCCUGCAGCUUCAUAGCAUCUGGCCCUCUGCUUAAUGACCCUCCUCUUCCUCCUCUUUCUCCUCCUCUUUCUCCUCUUCCUCCUCCUCCACUGCAUGUGCACCUGACCCUUUCUGUGUUUCCUUUAAAGGAUGCAACUACAAAAGCCUUCUGAUGCGGGGACAGGGAAAUCAAUAUUUUACCCCAAAAGGAAAGCGGGUGUGGGCGGGGCGGGAGCGGGGGUGUCUAUAUGAAUAUUUAUUUAGAUUAGAAUAAGAGUGACAGAAACGCCAUUACAGCUUGUCAUUAAACCCCCUUGUCCCUGCUCGCCCACUCCUCCUUUUAGCAGUGCUACCGCCAAGAGGUUGCGGGUUUGACUCCUAGGUGGGGGGACACUGCAUUCUGCCCUUGGCCAAAGUAAUAAAAAAAAUUUUCAAAAGCAGAACUGUUCGCCCCACACGCCCAAGCUACACAAGUGAGUGAUUUGUUGAUCUGAACUUACUUUGAAAUGUGAACUGUGUGAAUGACCCGGGAAGCAGGCAUGUGAAACUCGGCACAUAAACAAUGUCAUGUAACAUGAAUCUCAGGGAAGCAUUUGCCUGUUGCAGUGCGUCUGACCUGUGUCCACUGUUCUGGGUGACAGCCAAUGGCACUGCGGAACCCGGGACACUGAACGGUUACGCUGCCAGCGCAGUCCUUCCCACAGUUAAGAAGCUUAAACAGUUCACCAGCGUCCCCUGUGUGCUUUGAUUGUCCGACCCACUGUACCCUAAUCUGGGGGUCUGACUGCAAAGGCACGUAUUCAGACCAAGCCGUUAGCAGUGAAAAGACUGGGACUGAGGAGGAAGGACAACGCAGAGGCAGUGGGGCUUGUUUCAGUAUCUUACAGGUUUAGUGUGGGCUCACAUGGGACUUCUAUUUUUCCCUCCCUCUUAAUUCAGACUUCCUUAAAUACCUUUAUUCUCGAAAGGCACUCAAAGGAUGUUGAAGGAUUCACAGAGAAUACAG